GAUGAACGCUGGCGGUGUGCUUAACACAUGCAAGUCGAACGAAGCACUCUAUUUGAUUUUCUUGGGAAAUGAAGUUUUUGUGACUGAGUGGCGGACGGGUGAGUAACGCGUGGGUAACCUGCCUAAUACAGGGGGAUAACAGUGGGAAACGACUGCUAAACCCGCAUAAGCGCAAAGUAUUGAAUGAUACAGGGGGAAACCCUCCGGUGGAAUGAGAUGGACCCGCGUCGGAUUAGCUAGUUGGGGGGGCAACGGCCGACCAAGGCGACGAUCAGGAGCCGACCUGAGAGGGUGCACGGACACAUUGGUACUGAGACACGGCCCAAACUCCGACGGGAGGAAGCAGUGGGGAAUAUUGCACAAGGGGGGAAACCCUGAUGCAGCGACGCCGCGUGAACUAAGAAGUAUGUCGGUAUGUAAAGUUCUAUCAGCAGGGAAGAUAAUGACGGUACCUUACUAAGAAGCACCGGCCAAAUACGUGCCAGCAGCCGCCGUAA
RNAcentral lists this ribosomal RNA (497 nucleotides) under uncultured bacterium. RNAcentral describes it as "partial 16S ribosomal RNA". It matches the Rfam family "Bacterial small subunit ribosomal RNA", at positions 28 to 523 of the family's 1533-position model. The record is from RNAcentral.